GAUCUUUCCAAUUACCAUACUGAGAGGCAGAUCUUCAAUGGAGAUGGAGGAGAAACCAACAUUUGUCACUGGAUCUAUCAGCUUCCAUUAGAAUGGAUAGAAGACUUUUUGGGGACUGCUCUUCUCGGGGAAUCCUGAUCGGACACAAAUGUGAAAUGCUCAGAAUGGACUCCAAGGACCUUGAUGUCUUUCAGUGAGCAACUUUGAUGUAUACUUGUAUCGGGAUAAUUAAACCUCCCUCUGAAACAUGCUGGCUGCUUAGGUGUUGAGCGCAGGAAUAAUGAUCACAACAGGUUGCAUUAUGCCGGAUUUCACAGUGACAUGGAAUUAAAAACAACCUUCAAGGUCAAAAAAAAAAA
Long non-coding RNA from Dromiciops gliroides (monito del monte), 359 nucleotides. RefSeq lists it as uncharacterized. The record is from RefSeq and is a predicted model, not a curated record. The transcript is spliced from 2 exons. NCBI's taxonomy places the organism in Eukaryota, Metazoa, Chordata, Mammalia, Microbiotheria, Microbiotheriidae.